CGGGCUCAUCCCAAGGCAACGAUGCNGUAGCAGACCUGAGAGGGGUGAUCGGCCACACUAGGAAUGAGACACGACCCAGACUCCUACGGGAGGCAGCAGUAAGGAAUCUUCAGCAAUGGACGAAUAGUCUGACAGAGCAACGACGCGUGAGUGAUGAACGGUUUUCGGAUCGUAAAACUCUGUUGUCAGGGAAGAAUCAAGUGCCGGAGUAACUGCCGGCACCUUGACGGUACCUGACCAGAAAGCCACGGCUAACUACGUGCCAGCAGCCGCGGUAAUACGUAGGUGGCAAGCGUCGUCCGGAAUUAUUGGGCGUAAAGCGCGCGCAGGCGGUCUCUUAAGUCUGAUGUGAAAGCCCACGGCUCAACCGUGGAGGGUCAUUGGAAACUGGGGGACUUGAGUGCAGAAGAGGAAAGUGGAAUUCCACGUGUAGCGGUGAAAUGCGUAGAGAUGUGGAGGAACACCAGUGGCGAAGGCGACUUUCUGGUCUGUAACUGACGCUGAGGCGCGAAAGCGUGGGGAGCAAACAGGAUUAGAUACCCUGGUAGUCCACGCCGUAAACGAUGAGUGCUAAGUGUUAGAGGGUUUCCGCCCUUUAGUGCUGCAGCAAACGCAUUAAGCACUCCGCCUGGGGAGUACAGCCGCAAGGCUGAAACUCAAAGGAAUUGACGGGGGCCCGCACAAGCGGUGGGAGCAUGUAGCUUUAAUUCGAAGCAACGCGUAAGAACAUUACCACGGUCUUGACAUCUUCCUGACAGACCCUAGAGAUACGGCGGUCCCCUUCGUGGGAACAGGAUGACAGGUGGUGCAUGGGUUGUCGUCAGCUCGUGUCGUGAGAUGCUUGGGUUAAGUCCCGCAACGAGCGCAACCCUUGAUCUUAGUUGCAAGCAUUCAGUUGGGCACCUCUAAAGGUGACUGCCAGGUGACAAACCGGA
This 935-nucleotide ribosomal RNA is filed under the name Bacillus infantis. RNAcentral's name for it is "bacterial SSU rRNA". It matches the Rfam family "Bacterial small subunit ribosomal RNA", at positions 258 to 1167 of the family's 1533-position model. Lineage: Bacteria; Bacillati; Bacillota; Bacilli; Caryophanales; Bacillaceae. The record is from RNAcentral.